Molecule: ribosomal RNA, 305 nt
Filed under: uncultured bacterium
Lineage: Bacteria
Description: bacterial SSU rRNA
Rfam family: Bacterial small subunit ribosomal RNA
Source: RNAcentral
UUCCUACGGGGGGCAGCAGUGAGGAAUAUUGGUCAAUGGGCUUACGCCUGAACCAGCCAAGUCGCGUGAGGGAAGACUGCCCUAUGGGUUGUAAACCUCUUUUGCCGGGGAGCAAGCGUGCGUUCGUGAACGCGCGUCGAGAGUACCCGGAGAAAAAGCAUCGGCUAACUCCGUGCCAGCAGCCGCGGUAAUACGGAGGAUGCGAGCGUUAUCCGGAUUUAUUGGGUUUAAAGGGUGCGUAGGCGGGAUGCCAAGUCAGCGGUAAAAAUGCGGUGCUCAACGCCGUCGAGCCGUUGAAACUGGCG